Molecule: ribosomal RNA, 371 nt
Filed under: uncultured bacterium
Lineage: Bacteria
Description: bacterial SSU rRNA
Rfam family: Bacterial small subunit ribosomal RNA
Source: RNAcentral
UACGUAGGGGGCGAGCGUUGUCCGGAUUUACUGGGCGUAAAGGGUGAGUAGGCGGUUGUAUAUGUCAGAUGUAAAAGGCACAGGCUUAACUUGUGUAAGCAUUUGAAACUGUACAACUUGAGUGCAGGAGAGGUAAGUGGAAUUCCUAGUGUAGCGGUGAAAUGCGUAGAUAUUAGGAGGAACACCAGUGGCGAAGGCGACUUACUGGACUGUAACUGACGCUGAGUCACGAAAGCGUGGGUAGCAAACAGGAUUAGAUACCCUGGUAGUCCACGCUGUAAACGAUGAGUGCUAGGUGUUGGCUAGCGAUAGUCAGUGCCGAAGUAAACACAAUAAGCACUCCGCCUGGGGAGUACGGUCGCAAGACUGAA